Molecule: unclassified non-coding RNA, 299 nt
Filed under: plant metagenome
Description: partial contains 5.8S ribosomal RNA, internal transcribed spacer 2, and large subunit ribosomal RNA
Rfam family: 5.8S ribosomal RNA (bases 1-105)
Source: RNAcentral
GAAAUGCGAUAAGUAAUGUGAAUUGCAGAAUUCAGUGAAUCAUCGAAUCUUUGAACGCACAUUGCGCCCCCUGGUAUUCCGGGGGGCAUGCCUGUUCGAGCGUCAUUUCACCACUCAAGCCUCGCUUGGUAUUGGGCGACGCGGUCCGCCGCGCGCCUCAAAUCGACCGGCUGGGUCUUUCGUCCCCUCAGCGUUGUGGAAACUAUUCGCUAAAGGGUGCCGCGGGAGGCCACGCCGUAAAACAACCCCAUUUCUAAGGUUGACCUCGGAUCAGGUAGGGAUACGCGCUGAAGAUAAGC